This 253-nucleotide ribosomal RNA is filed under the name uncultured bacterium. RNAcentral describes it as "partial 16S ribosomal RNA". It matches the Rfam family "Bacterial small subunit ribosomal RNA", at positions 524 to 776 of the family's 1533-position model. The record is from RNAcentral.
UACGAGUGCUUCGAGCGUUAUCCGGAAUCAUUGGGCGUAAAGGGUGUGUAGGCGGCUAUGUUAGUCUUGUGUAAAAUUUCCCGGCUCAACCGGGAGCUCGCACGGGAAACGGCAUGGCUUGAGGAUGGUAGGGGUCUCUGGAACUCAUGGUGUAGCGGUGAAAUGCGUUGAUAUCAUGGGGAACACCGAAAGCGAAGGCAAGAGACUGGACCACUCCUGACGCUGAAACACGAAAGCGUGGGUCGCGAAUGGG